AUUGAACGUUGGCGGCAGGCUUAACACAUGCAAGUCGAACGGUAACAGGAAGAAGCUUGCUUCUUUGCUGACGAGUGGCGGACGGGUGAGUAAUGUCUGGGAAACUGCCUGAUGGAGGGGGAUAACUACUGGAAACGGUAGCUAAUACCGCAUAACGUCGCAAGACCAAAGAGGGGGACCUUCGGGCCUCUUGCCAUCGGAUGUGCCCAGAUGGGAUUAGCUAGUAGGUGGGGUAACGGCUCACCUAGGCGACGAUCCCUAGCUGGUCUGAGAGGAUGACCAGCCCCACUGGAACUGAGACACGGUCCAGACUCCUACGGGAGGCAGCAGUGGGGAAUAUUGCACAAUGGGCGCAAGCCUGAUGCAGCCAUGCCGCGUGUAUGAAGAAGGCCUUCGGGUUGUAAAGUACUUUCAGCGGGGAGGAAGGGAGUAAAGUUAAUACCUUUGCUCAUUGACGUUACCCGCAGAAGAAGCACCGGCUAACUCCGUG
This 490-nucleotide ribosomal RNA is filed under the name uncultured bacterium. Its description in RNAcentral is "partial 16S ribosomal RNA". It matches the Rfam family "Bacterial small subunit ribosomal RNA", at positions 30 to 507 of the family's 1533-position model. The record is from RNAcentral.